UCCUCCAGUCCCGGAACUGGAGCAGGGUUGGGCCAGCUCUGUACUUGGAUGGAAGACCUCCGAGAGGCUGGGUGCUGCAGGAC
RNAcentral lists this ribosomal RNA (83 nucleotides) under Gopherus agassizii (Agassiz's desert tortoise). The record is from RNAcentral. Lineage: Eukaryota; Metazoa; Chordata; Testudines; Testudinidae.